AGAUUGCCUACCACGGCUGACGACCUCCACCUGCCCGGGUUUGUUGUUCGGAGUUUGCUCUCCUAGGUGAAUUGCCUACCACGGCUAACGAGCCUCACCUGCCCGGGUUUGUUUAGAGUUUGCUCUCCUAGGUGAAUUGCCUACCACGGCUAACGACCUCCACCUGCCCGGGUUUGUUUAGAGUUUGCUCUCCUAGGUGAAUUGCCUACCACGGCUAACGACCUCCACCUGCCCGGGUUUAUUGUUCGGAGUUUGCUCUCCUAGGUGAAUUGCCUCCCACGGCUAACGACCUCCACCUGCCCGGGUUUAUUGUUCGGAGUUUGCUCUCCUAGGUGAAUUGCCUACCACGGCUAACGACCUCCACCUGCCCGGGUUUAUUGUUCGGAGUUUGCUCUCCUAGGUGAAUUGCCUACCACGGCUAACGACCUCCACCUGCCCGGGUUUAUUGUUCGGAGUUUGCUCUCCUAGGUGAAUUGCCUACCACGGCUAACGAGCCUCACCUGCCCGGGUUUGUAUAGAGUUUGCUCUCCUAGGCAGAUUGCCUACCACGGCUAACGACCUCCACCUGCCCGGGUUUGUAGCCGGAAGAUCUCCGGCACCUCCAUCGGGGCCCCGAGGGACGCCGAGGAGCCCUGCCUGGAGCCCUGCAUUCCUGCCAUGCUCGCCAGGGAGACCUUGGGCUCGCUGGCGCUCCACACCCCCGCCGAGGCGAGGAUGCAAGAACUCGCUUCUUAAAACUACCAGACUGGAUUAUAAAAUUAAUCAUAAUUACUGUGAAGGCGCCGGUCACCGCGUUUAUCGGUUCAGGGAUGGAAGACCGACGGGCCUGGGAAACGCGCACAAGCAUCCAAAGGAAUCCUCGCGACGGCUUGCGACGCAGCAUCCGUUUCCCUUUUCUUUCUCAUUCCAAUUUUUCUUUUUUAUUAUAUUUUCCUUCUCUGA
This is a long non-coding RNA of Eriocheir sinensis (Chinese mitten crab), 942 nucleotides long. RefSeq lists it as uncharacterized. The record is from RefSeq and is a predicted model, not a curated record. The transcript is spliced from 4 exons. Lineage: Eukaryota; Metazoa; Arthropoda; Malacostraca; Decapoda; Varunidae.